UGUAAAGUUCAAGCUCCGAUUGUGAGAGCGAAACCGCGAAUGGCUCAUUAAAUCAGUCAUAAUCUACUUGAUUGUUUGAAGGUUAAAUGGAUAACUGUGGUAAUUCUAGAGCUAAUACAUGCGCAAGGGGCGCGACUUUGUCGCAAGACGGAGAAGCGCCGCGUUUAUUAGACUAAGACCAGUGCAAACUGCGUGGUGACUCUGAGUAAAUAACGGCCUAACAGCCGUGCCGCCGAGUUGGUCCCCUGAGGACUAACCGUCUCAAUCGAGUGUCUGCUCUAUCAACUGUGGAUGGUAGGAUAAGCGCCUACCAUGGUGAUGACGGGUAACGGGGAGUUAGGGCUCGACUCCGGAGAACAAGCCUGAGAAACGGCUAGUAGGACUAAGGUCUGCAGCAGGCGCGAAACUUACACAAUGCUCGAACAUUAAAGAGCGAUGUAGUGAAGAAAAAUAACGAUGUGCUUGUUUUUAAACAAACUAGCACAAUUGGAAUGAGACGACUCUAAACCAGUUAGUCGAGUAACAAAUGGAGGGCAAGUCUGGUGCCAGCAGCCGCGGUAAUUCCAGCUCCAUUAGCAUACAUUAAAGUUGUUGCGGUUAAAAAGCUCGUAGUUGAAUGUAGGGUGGCUCUCUGGAUGGGUUGGCGUUAUGGGGCUUCGGCCCUAGCCAAUCACUUCCAGGUAGCCACUGUUUCGUCACUUAAUCGAGUGCGAAGCGGGGUCAGUCUAGCUUUCGGGCAAGAGUGACCAAGUUUACCUUGAGAAAAUUAGAGUGCUCACAGCAGGCAGUUGGGCCCUCGCGGGUCCUUUAUGCUUGAAUAAUGUUGCAUGGAAUAAUAGAAUACGGCCUCGGUUCUAUUCUGUUGGUCUUAUAGAACAACAAAAGGUUUCUAUCAGGCUGGUUGUGUUGUCUGAGAUUAAACCCCCAGUACCGCGCCAGCCCAGAAACCGGAGGCAAUGGUUAAAAGAAAUAGUCGCGGCGGCAUCAGUACUGCAUCGUGAGAGGUGAAAUUCUUAGACCGAUGCAAGACUAACUGAAGCGAAAGCGUUUGCCGAGGAUAUUUUCAUUAAUCAAGAACGAAAGUUAGAGGUUCGAAGGCGAUCAGAUACCGCCCUAGUUCUAACCAUAAACGUUGCCAACUAGCAAUUGGGAUGCGGUUUCAUUGUUGGCUCGGCCCCACAAGGGCCAGCCAACUCUACGACCCUCCCAGCGGCUCUCGUAGGGAAACCAAAGUGUUUGGGUUCCGGGGGAAGUAUGAUUGCAAAGUUGAAACUUAAAGGAAUUGACGGAAGGGCACCACCAGGAGUGGAGCCUGCGGCUUAAUUUGACUCAACACGGGGAAACUUACUAGAUUAGAACUCUGGAAUGAUUGACAGAUUGAUAGCUCUUUCUUGAUUCAGAGGAUGGUGGUGCAUGGCCGUUCUUGAUUCGUAUUCCGAAACGUCUGCUUAAUUGCGAUAACGAGUGAGACCUCACCCAACUAACUAGUGGCUCGGUGCGUGCUGGCGUCCAAGUGGAAGCUUGUGGGCCCUCACGGGUUCGCUUGCGACCAUGCCAACAACUCGCCGGCUGACUUCUUAGAGGGAUAAACGGUGUUUUAGCCGUAAGAAACGAGGCAAUAACAGGUCUGUGAUGCCCUUAGAUACUCUAGGCCGCACGCGUGCUACAAUGGCGUGUGCAGAGAGCUUGUUCGAGGUACGGGGUGGGAUAUUGUCUAGUUGGUUGGCUGAGUGGCGGGCAACUGUUGCUUUGUCGCUAGCUAGGCAAGCCCAUCAUUCGGACCGAGAGAAACCGGCGCAGAAAUGCGUCGGCAAUCAUAAAUACACGCCGUGAUUUGGGAUUGGGGAUUGCAAUUGUUGCCCAUGAACGAGGAAUUCCCAGUAAGCGCGAUUCAUCAUAUCGCGUUGAUUACGUCCCUGCCCUUUGUACACACCGCCCGUCGCUACUACCGAUUGGAAGUUUUAGUGAGGCAUUUGGACCUGUGCGGUAGCAAGUCGCAAGGCUAGCAACUGCGCGGGGAAGUCUGUCGAACUCAAAUUUCUAGAGGAAGUAAAAGUCGUAACAAGGUUUCCGU
RNAcentral lists this ribosomal RNA (2074 nucleotides) under Tegolophus sp. AH34. RNAcentral's name for it is "SSU rRNA". It matches the Rfam family "Eukaryotic small subunit ribosomal RNA". Lineage: Eukaryota; Metazoa; Arthropoda; Arachnida; Trombidiformes; Eriophyidae. The record is from RNAcentral.